This 27-nucleotide non-coding RNA is filed under the name Mus musculus (house mouse). Lineage: Eukaryota; Metazoa; Chordata; Mammalia; Rodentia; Muridae. The record is from RNAcentral.
AAGAUACCGAGAGCCACAUGUGUGGGU